Erinaceus europaeus (western European hedgehog) is the source of this 323-nucleotide long non-coding RNA. RefSeq lists it as uncharacterized. The record is from RefSeq and is a predicted model, not a curated record. Lineage: Eukaryota; Metazoa; Chordata; Mammalia; Eulipotyphla; Erinaceidae. The transcript has 3 exons.
AGAGACAGAGGGAAACUGAGAAGAAAGGAGAGAUAAAGAAGGAAAGAGAUGGAAAGACACCUGCAGCUCUAUUCACCACUUGUGAAGAUUUCCCCCUGCAGCAGACCUAGUUUUUCAGAUGAGCAGUUUCCAGAACUUCAGGUGGAAGAUAAUACAAUUAUGGAUCUCCCUUCAAAGUAUCCUGAAAAUAAAUCUGUCCUGGAAUAAAAACCAUAUUGAGUUCUUUGUGCUGAUCCGCUUCCAAACCCUCCUUACUGGUGUGAUCAUGGUACUCAAUCUGUCUGUAAUUACAGUCUAGGAGACUUUUGCAAUGCACCACACAG